UAUAAAUGUAAGUUUUUAAACUAAAUUAUUAAUAGUUAUGUUCUUUAAAGUUAAAUAAUUUGGCGGUAUUUUAGUCUUUUCAGAGGAACCUGUUCUAUAAUUGAUAAUCCACAAUUAAAAUUACUUAAAUUAGAAAUUUAUAUAUCAUUGUUAAAAAAUAUUUUUAUAGAAUUUAAUAUUUAAAAUAUAAAAUUUUAUUAUAAUUCAAAUCAAGGUAUAGUUUAUAUUUAAGAAGAAAUGGGUUACAAUAUUUAAAAAUAUUGAAUUUUAAAUUUAAAAUUUAAAUGAAAUUGGAUUUGAAAGUAAUUAAUUUAUUUAUCUUUAAUGAUUAAGCUCUAAAAUAUGU
RNAcentral lists this ribosomal RNA (346 nucleotides) under Scymnus rhododendri. RNAcentral describes it as "partial small subunit ribosomal RNA". Lineage: Eukaryota; Metazoa; Arthropoda; Insecta; Coleoptera; Coccinellidae. The record is from RNAcentral.